Molecule: ribosomal RNA, 654 nt
Filed under: Triticum aestivum (bread wheat)
Lineage: Eukaryota; Viridiplantae; Streptophyta; Magnoliopsida; Poales; Poaceae
Description: partial small subunit ribosomal RNA
Source: RNAcentral
AUGUUUAUAUGGAGUAUCCGUGCUAAAGGGAGCAUGACUCAAAGAGGAGCUCAACAAGUGAGGGACCUUGAACCUGAAACUCUCACAGUGGAUCCAAUUGAAGAGAUAAAUGGAAUAAUUGAGCCAUCAUUAGCACUGGGUUAUGAUAACUUCUCUACAUUUCCUAAUUUCUAUCAUGACAGUUGUUGCAUUAUCUGCGGUAGAACUGUUGACUAUUCCUUUCGAGGUUAUAACUACAUAAAGUGUGAAGCAGUUGUGGGUGAGAACAACAUAUGUGGGCAUGUUGGGCACCUUGAUUGUGCUUUCCAACAUUUGUUGGCUGGAACUGUUGGAGGAGGUACUCCCAUGGAUGUACAAUACUACUGCAGGCGAUGUGAUAACAGAACCAACCUGAUGAUGCAUGUGCACAAGCUCUUGGAAACAUGUCUAUCUCUUAGAUCAAAGGAGGAAAUUAAGCCUAUCCUACAUUUGGGCAUAAAUAUCUUGAGUGGUUCAAGACAACCACAAGCAAAAAACUUGGAGAACUACAUGGGAUUAGUGAUGUCAAAGAUUAAUAGUAAGGUUGAUCUUGCUGAAGAUUGGAAAAUGGAUCAUGGUGAUGACAUGGAAAUACUGUGUGCAGAAGAUUUUCCCCACCCACUGCCAAUGCCAUGA